This 457-nucleotide ribosomal RNA is filed under the name uncultured bacterium. RNAcentral's name for it is "bacterial SSU rRNA". It matches the Rfam family "Bacterial small subunit ribosomal RNA", at positions 340 to 786 of the family's 1533-position model. The record is from RNAcentral.
UACGGGAGGCAGCAGUGGGGAAUAUUGCACAAUGGGCGAAAGCCUGAUGCAGCUAUGCCGCGUGUAUGAAGAAGGCCUUAGGGUUGUAAAGUACUUUCAUCGGGGAGGAAAAACAAAACUAAUAAUUUUAUUUCUUGACGUUACCCGAAAAAGAAGCACCGGCUAACUCCGUGCCAGCAGCCGCGGUAAUACGGAGGGUGCUAGCGUUAAUCAGAAUUACUGGGCGUAAAGAGCACGUAGGUGGUUUUUUUAAGUCAGAUGUGAAAUCCCUGGGCUUAACCUAGGAACUGCAUUUUGAAACUGAAAUACUAGAGUAUCGUAGAGGGAGGUAGAAUUCUAGGUGUAGCGGUGAAAUGCGUAGAUAUCUGGAGGAAUACCUGUGGCGAAAGCGGCCUCCUAAACGAAUACUGACACUGAGGGUGCGAAAGCGGUGGGGAGCAAACAGGGAUUAGAUACC